Molecule: long non-coding RNA, 746 nt
Filed under: Sinocyclocheilus grahami
Lineage: Eukaryota; Metazoa; Chordata; Actinopteri; Cypriniformes; Cyprinidae
Description: lncRNA (ENSSGRG00000040233.1)
Source: RNAcentral
GUGGAGGACGGGACAGUACCAAGAUUAGAAAUCUGUUGCUUAAGCACAUGUCAAAAACUGUACCAGUGACAACUAUGAAGGUAACAUGUAGAGGAAGUGAUUUAGAUGCUGUUGUUAGCAUGUUCUGCACAGCGGACUAAGUUUCUCUGCUCUCUAACACAGAUAGAGACGUCCAUUCAGUGCUCUGUUUGCACAUACGUUGUGAGCACACUUGAGUAUCUGUUUCCCAGAGAGAGGACUCAGCCACAGUGCAAUAAGAUGGUUGAAAAAUACGUCCAACUGUUGGUUGACAUGCUACUGAAUAACACUUCUCCUAACUUCAUAUGCACUCUGCUUCGUUUUUGUGAAAUAUGGGAGCAUCCUGUCAAUGCUGUGGCACUUUCUGAUUGUGAUUCUUGCCUUACAUUGGCGGUUCUGACUCAUGUUCAUCUGGGCCCCAAUGCCACCGAGCACCAGGCUGCUUCAUUCCUGGACACCGUCUGCCAGCUGCACCCCAGUGCUAUGCCAAAGGUUACACAUCAUUCUGCUCCUUUAAAUGAAUGACUUUAAAGUGCCCUUAAUUUGCAAGUUUACUAUAAUUUCUACAUCUCAUCUAGUGUGAGACUUACGUGCAGCGUCAUGGGAACCAGCUCCGUGUGCUUCUGAGCAAACAGCAGGCGGCGCUGGACAUUUGUAAGGUAAAAACACCUGUGGAAUACCCAUGGCUCUUGACAAUAUGCUGAGGUCUUCUGAAGCAGUCCGGAAUG